Molecule: ribosomal RNA, 497 nt
Filed under: uncultured bacterium
Lineage: Bacteria
Description: partial 16S ribosomal RNA
Rfam family: Bacterial small subunit ribosomal RNA
Source: RNAcentral
GACGAACGCUGGCGGCGUGCCUAAUACAUGCAAGUAGAACGCUGAAGAGAGGAGCUUGCUCUUCUUGGAUGAGUUGCGAACGGGUGAGUAACGCGUAGGUAACCUGCCUUGUAGCGGGGGAUAACUAUUGGAAACGAUAGCUAAUACCGCAUAACAAUGGAUGACACAUGUCAUUUAUUUGAAAGGGGCAAUUGCUCCACUACAAGAUGGACCUGCGUUGUAUUAGCUAGUAGGUGAGGUAAUGGCUCACCUAGGCGACGAUACAUAGCCGACCUGAGAGGGUGAUCGGCCACACUGGGACUGAGACACGGCCCAGACUCCUACGGGAGGCAGCAGUAGAGAAUCUUCGGCAAUGGGGGCAACCCUGACCGAGCAACGCCGAGUGAGUGAAGAAGGUUUUCGGAUCGUAAAGCUCUGUUGUAAGUCAAGAACGGGUGUGAGAGUGGAAAGUUCACACUGUGACGGUAGCUUACCAGAAAGGGACGGCUAACUACGUG